RNAcentral lists this ribosomal RNA (424 nucleotides) under uncultured bacterium. Its description in RNAcentral is "bacterial SSU rRNA". It matches the Rfam family "Bacterial small subunit ribosomal RNA", at positions 97 to 543 of the family's 1533-position model. The record is from RNAcentral.
GGCGGACGGGUGAGUAACGCGUGAGAAUCUGCCUUCAGGACGGAGACAACAGUUGGAAACGACUGCUAAGCCCCGAUGAACCGAAAGGGAAAAUAUUUAUAGCCUGAAGAUGAGCUCGCGUCCGAUUAGCUAGUUGGGGGGGUGAAGGCCCACCAAGGCGACGAUCGGUAGCUGGUCUGAGAGGACGAUCAGCCACACUGGGACUGAGACACGGCCCAGACUUCUACGGGAGGCAGCAGUGGGGAAUUUUCCGCAAUGGGCGAAAGCCUGACGGAGCAAGACCGCGUGGGGGAAGAAGGCUCUUGGGUUGUAAACCCCUUUUCUCUGGGAAGAAAGUUGUGAAAGCAACCUGACGGUACCAGAGGAAUCAGCAUCGGCUAACUCCGUGCCAGCAGCCGCGGUAAGACGGAGGAUGCAAGCGUUA